AAGGGGGUUCUUUUGAAAAAUUUCAUUUUCCUAUUUUGUAGCUGCUCUACUUAUUCAAGGUUCGAUUCGGGUGUAUAGUCAGAAAGUGGAAUAUCUAUAUUCUUUGGUUUUGCAUGCGUUGGAGUUCAUUUCUCAGAAGAUAUUGGAUGGCUAAAAAAACAUCAUGGUGGUAGUCGGAAGUUAAUUUCCGAAGUAACUGAAGUGUGGAGCUCAUCUCUUUGUACCAAUGAUAGGGAAGUUAAUUUCAGUUUCCAUUAUUUCCACUCUAUUGAACUUUAGUUGUUAAAAUUUCAAAAAUUGUGGUUUUGAAUUUAAUUAGGGUGUCAGAAGGAAAAGACAAUCAACAAUAAAACUGCGUCUAAAGAAGUCUGCCUCCCAUGAAGAAAGAGAACAACAUGGUUCAUUUCUUGUUCUUUAGACCAUGAUUCAUUUUUGCAUCAUUUUGCAAAUGCUACGAUUUCAAAUCCCAUUUUUGAAUAAAAAAUCAGGAAAAAAAAUCUUCUUAAUUAGUUGAAAAUUUGCCCAUGUAUGGAAGCAUUCACAGUUAGAUAGCAAUUCCUUAAAGUGUAUAGAGUAGACCUUUCAUUGUUUCAAGUUGA
This is a long non-coding RNA of Magnolia sinica, 599 nucleotides long. RefSeq lists it as uncharacterized. The record is from RefSeq and is a predicted model, not a curated record. The transcript has 2 exons. Lineage: Eukaryota; Viridiplantae; Streptophyta; Magnoliopsida; Magnoliales; Magnoliaceae.